This 513-nucleotide ribosomal RNA is filed under the name Salmonella enterica. RNAcentral's name for it is "partial 23S ribosomal RNA". It matches the Rfam family "Bacterial large subunit ribosomal RNA", at positions 1168 to 1649 of the family's 2925-position model. Lineage: Bacteria; Pseudomonadati; Pseudomonadota; Gammaproteobacteria; Enterobacterales; Enterobacteriaceae. The record is from RNAcentral.
CAAGACAACUUUGCACAGUUGACGAUUGACGGAGCGGAGCGACGUGAAAGCGUUUUACAACGUUGAGUUGGCUUAGGGAUACGUUCGUUGGGUAGGGGAGCGUUCUGUAAGCCUGCGAAGGUGUGCUGUGAGGCAUGCUGGAGGUAUCAGAAGUGCGAAUGCUGACAUAAGUAACGAUAAAGCGGGUGAAAAGCCCGCUCGCCGGAAGACCAAGGGUUCCUGUCCAACGUUAAUCGGGGCAGGGUGAGUCGACCCCUAAGGCGAGGCCGAAAGGCGUAGUCGAUGGGAAACGGGUUAAUAUUCCCGUACUUGGUGUUACUGCGAAGGGGGGACGGAGAAGGCUAUGUUGGCCGGGCGACGGUUGUCCCGGUUUAAGCGUGUAGGUGUGUGUUCCAGGUAAAUCCGGUUCACUUUAACACUGAGGCGUGAUGACGAGGCACUACGGUGCUGAAGCAACAAAUGCCCUGCUUCCAGGAAAAGCCUCUAAGCAUCAGGUAACACGAAAUCGUACCC